RNAcentral lists this ribosomal RNA (405 nucleotides) under uncultured bacterium. RNAcentral's name for it is "partial 16S ribosomal RNA". It matches the Rfam family "Bacterial small subunit ribosomal RNA", at positions 28 to 526 of the family's 1533-position model. The record is from RNAcentral.
GACGAACGCUGGCGGCGUGCUUAACACAUGCAAGUCGAACGAAGUGGCGAACGGGUGAGUAAUACGUGAGUAACUGCCCCCCUCUCUGGGAUAACAGUUGGAAAAGGCUGCUAAUACCGGAUAGUGGGGGAUGACUCGCGUCCUAUCAGCUUGUUGGUGGGGUGAUGGCCUACCAAGUCGGUGACUGGUAGCCGGCCUGGGAGGGUGACCGGCCACAGUGGGCUGGGCGACGGGCCCGAGUGCUACGGGAGGGAGCAGUGGGGGAUAAUGGACAAUGGGCUAAAGCCUGAUUGAGGGACGCCGGGUGGGGGAUGAAGGGUUGCGGGGUGUAAACCUCUGGCGCUAUCGAAGGGGUAGGUGGAGAAGAAGCUCCGGCUAACUACGUGCCAGCAGCCGCGGUAAUAC